Molecule: ribosomal RNA, 798 nt
Filed under: uncultured Glomus
Lineage: Eukaryota; Fungi; Glomeromycota; Glomeromycetes; Glomerales; Glomeraceae
Description: SSU rRNA
Rfam family: Eukaryotic small subunit ribosomal RNA
Source: RNAcentral
AUCAACUUUCGAUGGUAGGAUAGAGGCCUACCAUGGUGGUAACGGGUAACGGGGUGUUAGGGCACGACACCGGAGAGGGAGCCUGAGAAACGGCUACCACAUCCAAGGAUGGCAGCAGGCGCGCAAAUUACCCAAUCCCGACACGGGGAGGUAGUGACAAUAAAUAACAAUACGGGGUUCUUUCGGAUCUCGUAAUUGGAAUGAGUACAAUUUAAAUCUCUUAACGAGGAACAAUUGGAGGGCAAGUCUGGUGCCAGCAGCCGCGGUAAUUCCAGCUCCAAUAGCGUAUAUUAAAGUUGUUGCAGUUAAAAAGCUCGUAGUUGAAUUUCGGGAUCAAUAUGUUGGUCGUGCCUUGGUACGUACUGGCGUCAUUGGUUUCUACCUUCUGAAGAACCUCGAUGUCAUUAAUUUGGUGUCUUGGGGAAUCAGGACUGUUACUUUGAAGAAAUUAGAGUGUUUAAAGCAGGCUCACGCUUGAAUACAUUAGCAUGGAAUAAUGAAAUAGGACGUUUGAUUCUAUUUUGUUGGUUUCUAGGAUCGACGUAAUGAUUAAUAGGGAUAGUUGGGGGCAUUAGUAUUCAAUUGUCAGAGGUGAAAUUCUUGGAUUUAUUGAAGACUAACUACUGCGAAAGCAUUUGCCAAGGAUGUUUUCAUUAAUCAAGAACGAAAGUUAGGGGAUCGAAGACGAUCAGAUACCGUCGUAGUCUUAACCAUAAACUAUGCCGACUAGGGAUCGGAUGAUGUUAAUUUUUUAAUGACUCAUUCGGCGCCUUACGGGAAACCAAAGUGUUUGGGUUC